This is a non-coding RNA of Gigantopelta aegis, 85 nucleotides long. Lineage: Eukaryota; Metazoa; Mollusca; Gastropoda; Neomphalida; Peltospiridae. The record is from the annotation of a RefSeq genome assembly.
GCUCGAAAUGAUCUCACUGGUUGGGUGCAGGCUUCAGACCUGUAGGUGAUUAGCGUCACAGUGGUUCGAUUCCACCUUUCGAGCG